CGCGUGGAUGGAGGAAGUCCAGC
Molecule: non-coding RNA, 23 nt
Filed under: Cricetulus griseus (Chinese hamster)
Lineage: Eukaryota; Metazoa; Chordata; Mammalia; Rodentia; Cricetidae
Source: RNAcentral